Molecule: non-coding RNA, 76 nt
Organism: Frankia sp.
Lineage: Bacteria; Bacillati; Actinomycetota; Actinomycetes; Frankiales; Frankiaceae
Source: Rfam
AAGAGCGGAGUGACGGGAGACUGUCACGCUCCGUUCUGUUGGAGCCCAGGGGUGCAAUUCCCCUGGGCCACCCGAC